Molecule: ribosomal RNA, 484 nt
Filed under: uncultured bacterium
Lineage: Bacteria
Description: partial 16S ribosomal RNA
Rfam family: Bacterial small subunit ribosomal RNA
Source: RNAcentral
AUUGAACGCUGGCGGCAGGCCUAACACAUGCAAGUCGAGCGGAUGAAGGGAGCUUGCUCCUGGAUUCAGCGGCGGACGGGUGAGUAAUGCCUAGGAAUCUGCCUGGUAGUGGGGGAUAACGUCCGGAAACGGGCGCUAAUACCGCAUACGUCCUGAGGGAGAAAGUGGGGGAUCUUCGGACCUCACGCUAUCAGAUGAGCCUAGGUCGGAUUAGCUAGUUGGUGGGGUAAAGGCCUACCAAGGCGACGACCCGUAACUGGUCUGAGAGGAUGAUCAGUCACACUGGAACUGAGACACGGUCCAGACUCCUACGGGAGGCAGCAGUGGGGAAUAUUGGACAAUGGGCGAAAGCCUGAUCCAGCCAUGCCGCGUGUGUGAAGAAGGUCUUCGGAUUGUAAAGCACUUUAAGUUGGGAGGAAGGGCAGUAAGUUAAUACCUUGCUGUCUUGACGUUACCAACAGAAUAAGCACCGGCUAACUUCGUG